This 70-nucleotide transfer RNA is filed under the name Pungitius kaibarae. RNAcentral's name for it is "tRNA-Ile". It matches the Rfam family "tRNA". Rfam says of the family: Transfer RNA (tRNA) molecules are approximately 80 nucleotides in length. The record is from RNAcentral. Lineage: Eukaryota; Metazoa; Chordata; Actinopteri; Perciformes; Gasterosteidae.
GGAGCUGUGCCUGAAGUAAAGGGCCACUUUGAUAGAGUGAACCACGGGGGUUAAAAUCCCCUCAGCUCCU